CUGAUUCUUGCUGCAACUUCUGCUCCUCUAAGUUCUCUUCUGGAUUUUCUUUCAAGCCAAAAUACUGCUCCAAGUUCGCAAUGUACUCCAAAUUCGCUAUGUGCUCCGAGUUUUCAUUGUGCUCAAUGCUCGCAUUCUGUUCCAAGUUCAAAUCAUGCCCCAGGUUCAUAUUCUGCCCCAAAUUUUCAUGUUCUUGAGCCUGUCCCACUUCAUUUUCAACAAAGCUUUGAUCAACUUCA
This is a long non-coding RNA of Hibiscus syriacus, 239 nucleotides long. RefSeq lists it as uncharacterized. NCBI's taxonomy places the organism in Eukaryota, Viridiplantae, Streptophyta, Magnoliopsida, Malvales, Malvaceae. The transcript has 2 exons. The record is from RefSeq and is a predicted model, not a curated record.